This 1680-nucleotide long non-coding RNA is filed under the name Microcebus murinus (gray mouse lemur). RNAcentral describes it as "lncRNA (ENSMICG00000048582.1)". The record is from RNAcentral. Lineage: Eukaryota; Metazoa; Chordata; Mammalia; Primates; Cheirogaleidae.
GCGGGACGCCCCCGCCCCCACCGCGGCGCGUAGUGCGCAGGCGCCUCCCCCCGGGUCCCGGCGGCGGGAGCGGGAGGCGGCGGCGGCGGCGGCGGGAGCGGCUUCAGCCUCUCUUGGAGACUGAGGCGAAGGCGGCGGCGAAGGAGGUGAAGGAGCGACGAGGGCGGCGGCGAAGGCGAUGGCGACGCGGGGCACAUGAAGCGGUGGCCGGCGGGACGGGCCGAGGCCCGGCGGAGAAGGCGGCUCCGGGGGAACCCGCCGCCGGGUUCCACAGUGUGCUAAGGUCUUCUGCAAACUGGUCUUUAACUUCUCUGUUCAGCCUUCUCUCCAACUACUUCCCAAACAUCCUCCAUCAUGUUCCAGUCCAAGAGACUUCUUAUGCAACUUUUCCCUCACACCAUUUUCUCCAUCUUCCUGGCUGGCCUCUACUUCCCACUCCAGCUCUGCCUGGUGAAACCAUACCCAUCCUUCAAAGACCCACUUGCUUUGUGCAGUGACUAUCCUGUUGCCCAAACAUCAUUAAUUAAAAAUUCCAUCUUUGCCCCCACUGAUGUGAGGAGCCACCUACAUUAGUAGCUUUUCAGCAGAGGAGUAACACAUCUGUGUUAGAGAAUUCUGGUGGAGAUGUAGAAGACAGACUGAAGAAGAGAAAGUAGAGCAGGUAUUGAUUGGUUUAUAGCCUUUCAGGAUUUUUGGUUGUUUUUUUUUUUUUUUUAGGGUUUUUUAAUGCAUAAAUUUUGUUUUCACAAAAUUGAGAUAAUUCUAUAAGUGUGUGAAUUUAUUGAACAGGUAUUUAUUGAGAACCCAUCACCAUUUUUUAGGCCCUGGGGUUUCAGAUAACUGGGGAUAAAAGAACAGAGUCCUUGCUGUCAGGAAGCUUCUAUUCUAGUGGAGGAACUAGGCAAUAAAAUAAAAAUAUAAAUUACAUACAUAUAUAUAAAUAGGCCAGGUGAAGUGGCUCACACCUGUAAUCCUAGUACUCUGGGAGGCUAAGGCAGGAGGAUCACUUGAGGUCAGGAGUUUGAGGUUGCUAUGAUGAUGCCACUGCACUCUAGCUGGGGCAACAGAGCAAGACUGUCUAAAAAAUAUAUAUAUAUAUACACACACACACAUACACAAACAUAAUGUGUGGAUUAAGUGCUGUAAAGAAAAUUAUGGCUAAGAAAAAAAGGCUGGAGAAUUAUAGGAACUGUUAGAAGUUGUCUAGGGAAGGUCUUAUUAAGGAAAGUGACAUUUGAGCAAAGCCUUGAAUGAAGUAAGAGUGAGUCCUGCCAGUAUCUAUGAAAAGAGUUGUUCUAAUCAGUGAAAAUAGCAAGUGCAAAGAUUCUAAGGCAAAAGCAUGGCAUGUUUGUCAUGGUUUGUGGAACAAAGAGGAUGCAGGUAGAUAUUCCUGAGGCAGAAUGAGGAAGAGGGAGAAUAAGUGGGAAUGAGACCAGAAAGUGAGCUGAUAAAGGACAUUGUAAACUACCGGAAGAUUUUGGAUUUUAUUCCAAGUGUGAUGGGAAGCUACUACUAGAGAGUUUUGAUCAGAAAGGGAAAUUGUCUAACCUACCUUCUAAAAUCUUUACUCUGGUUGCUCUUGGAGAGAGGAUGAAGGCAUAAGCUAAGGCAGUGGUUCCCAACGUUUUUUGGCACCAGGACAGGUUUCAUGGAAGAUAAUUUUUCCAUGGCCAGUGGGGG